GAUGAACGCUGGCGGCGUGCCUAAUACAUGCAAGUCGAGCGAACGGACGAGAAGCUUGCUUCUCUGAUGUUAGCGGCGGACGGGUGAGUAACACGUGGAUAACCUACCUAUAAGACUGGGAUAACUUCGGGAAACCGGAGCUAAUACCGGAUAAUAUUUUGAACCGCAUGGUUCAAAAGUGAAAGACGGUCUUGCUGUCACUUAUAGAUGGAUCCGCGCUGCAUUAGCUAGUUGGUAAGGUAACGGCUUACCAAGGCAACGAUGCAUAGCCGACCUGAGAGGGUGAUAGCCCACACUGGAGCUGAGACACGGUCCAGAGUCCUACGGGACGCAGCAGUAGGGAAUCUUCCGCAGUGGGCGGAAGCCUGGCGGAGCAGCGCCGCGUGAGUGGUGGAGGUCUUCGGAUCGUAAAACUCUGUUAUUAGUGAAGAACAGAUUUGUAAGUAACUGUGCACAUCUUGACGGUACCUAAUCAGAAAGCCACGGCUAACUACGUG
This 497-nucleotide ribosomal RNA is filed under the name uncultured bacterium. RNAcentral's name for it is "partial 16S ribosomal RNA". It matches the Rfam family "Bacterial small subunit ribosomal RNA", at positions 28 to 507 of the family's 1533-position model. The record is from RNAcentral.